GUUAUCCAGCGUGCAAGUCACCUCAAUAUAGCGUUACGAUGUGAAAUUCCGGGGUUUCAAACCCUCAGGACAUCAUUUACAUCAAUUACUCACCUCAAACCGGCUACUUCUUUAGCUCGCGACGCCUUUGCUCCUCGAAUUGGCCUCCACGUGCGUCGAAUCUGCCCAAAAUUACAACGAAUAUGUCGCAUUAUGCUAAAGGGACAAUACCCAAUCGAAAGUAAUCGAAAAAUAUCAAAAUUCACGAAUUUGACAAAACCCGAGCCCCGGUCCCACCUCUCAAAACUCAGAAAUUUUUAUACCAAAAUGUUCUUCGUCUUCUCACGAGUCUGUACAUAUAAAGAACACAAAAAUCGGAGUUCGUUUGACCCUUCAAAUCGACCCUAGAAAAUCUUAAAAACACAAGCCCUAAAACCCCACUUUUCUACUGAUUUUCAUGUUCUAAUUCACAUAUAAUCUUGUAUUUAACUUGGAAAUAAGUAGAAACAACUCACCUUUGAUGCUUGAUAAAAUCCCCCUUUAAAUUCUCUCCAAAAUCAUCCAAGCCAAAUGAAAGAAAUGAAAACAAUAAGCCAAAUCCGUGUUUAAAGAAUCUGCCUGUGCUUCGUCGAGUUGUACCUUGCACUUGUUCUAUACAAGUUGUACAUCCUAUUAAAAUUUUUCCUUGUCGGACACCUUCUGUUUAAACACCCAUAACGUCUUGUAUAAACAUCCAAAUUACAAACGGUUUGAAGAUUUAGAAACUAGACUUGAAAAUCUUUAAGUUGAUAGGUUGUAACUAUAUAACUCUUUAUAUAUUCCGAGAUAUGAGCUUUUAAAAUCGGCUCCAUGAAAUCAGAAAAUUCUGGAGAAACUGCUCUACCAGUCAUCUUCAAUCGAUCAUAACUUUCUCUACAGAUGUCCCAAUUACGAUUUCCUUAGCUUUCUGGAAACUAAACACGAAGUUCUACAACUUUUGUUUUUGAAUCAUCUCAAAAUUACUUGUAGAUCAAAAGAUAUAGGCCUCCGAAGUACGCUCCACAACUGCACAUUUGCUGUCCAAAGACAGCUUAGCAGCAGAAAUUACCGCAACUUUUUCUUUUCUUUUUGGGUCCGAAUUCCAUUCCGUUAACCUUCCGAAAUCCACCCGAGGCCCUCGGGACCUUUACCAAUUAUAUCAACAUGUCCUACAAUAUCAUUCAAACUUGUCCCAACCUUCGGAAC
Molecule: long non-coding RNA, 1203 nt
Filed under: Nicotiana tabacum (common tobacco)
Lineage: Eukaryota; Viridiplantae; Streptophyta; Magnoliopsida; Solanales; Solanaceae
Description: long non-coding RNA (NTAB_LNC011614)
Source: RNAcentral